GACGAACGCUGGCGGCGUGCUUAACACAUGCAAGUCGAGCGGUAAGGCCCUUUCGGGGGUACACGAGCGGCGAACGGGUGAGUAACACGUGGGUGACCUGCCCUCAGCUCUGGGAUAAGCCUGGGAAACCGGGUCUAAUACUGGAUAUGACUCCAUGACGCAUGUUGUGGGGUGGAAAGCCUUGUGCGGCUGAGGAUGGGCCCGCGGCCUAUCAGCUUGUUGGUGGGGUGANGGCCUACCAAGGCGACGACGGGUAGCCGGCCUGAGAGGGCGACCGGCCACACUGGGACUGAGACACGGCCCAGACUCCUACGGGAGGCAGCAGUGGGAAUCUUGCGCAAUGGGCGAAAGCCUGACGCAGCG
RNAcentral lists this ribosomal RNA (363 nucleotides) under uncultured bacterium. Its description in RNAcentral is "bacterial SSU rRNA". It matches the Rfam family "Bacterial small subunit ribosomal RNA", at positions 28 to 393 of the family's 1533-position model. The record is from RNAcentral.